RNAcentral lists this ribosomal RNA (453 nucleotides) under Carex davalliana. RNAcentral's name for it is "eukaryotic LSU rRNA". The stretch from base 312 to 453 matches the Rfam family "Eukaryotic large subunit ribosomal RNA", at positions 1 to 141 of the family's 3401-position model. The record is from RNAcentral. Lineage: Eukaryota; Viridiplantae; Streptophyta; Magnoliopsida; Poales; Cyperaceae.
UGCAGAAUCCCGUGAACCAUCGAGUCUUUGAACGCAAGUUGCGCCCGAGGGACCCUCCCNAGGGCACGCCUGCCUCAUGGGCGUUAGAAGCCCAUUCACGCUUGGUUGCCUCACAGCAAAGAUGCGGACAUUGGCCCUCCGAACCUCGAGGUGCGGUGGGCCUAAGUGUGCGGNCGUUGUACGUGGCCGGGAGCGGCGAGUGGUGGGCUACUGCGCACGUCACCCCGAGCCCCGUACCGACACAGGGCCUUUUUUGACCCCUAACGAGGAGCUUGCCGUUGCGGNUUGCGCUGCGCGGUGCCUUCGGACCGAUACCCCAGGUCAGGCGGGGCUACCCGCUGAGUUUAAGCAUAUAAAUAAGCGGAGGAGAAGAAACUUACAAGGAUUCCCCUAGUAACGGCGAGCGAACCGGGAGCAGCCCAGCCUUAGAAUCGCGGUGGCACUGCCGCCCGA